GACGAACGCUGGCGGCGUGCUUAACACAUGCAAGUCGAACGGUAAGGCCCCAGCUUGCUGGGGUGGAUCAGUGGCGAACGGGUGAGUAACACGUGAGCAACCUGCCCCUGACUCUGGAAUAAGCGCUGGAAACGGCGGCUAAUACCGGAUACGAGCUGGUGCCGCAUGGGCGCGUUUUGGAAGGUUUGGCGGUUGGGGAUGGACUCGCGGCCUAUCAGCUUGUUGGUGGGGUAGUGGCUCACCAAGGCGUUGACGGGUAGCCGGCCUGAGAGGGCGACCGGCCACACUGGGACUGAGACACGGCCCAGACUCCUACGGGAGGCAGCAGUGGGGAAUAUUGCACAAUGGGCGGAAGCCUGAUGCAGCAACGCCGCGUGCGGGAUGACGGCCUUCGGGUUGUAAACCGCUUUCAGCAGGGAAGAAGCGAAAGUGACGGUACUGGCUGAAGAAGCACCGGCUAACUACGUG
Molecule: ribosomal RNA, 468 nt
Filed under: uncultured bacterium
Lineage: Bacteria
Description: partial 16S ribosomal RNA
Rfam family: Bacterial small subunit ribosomal RNA
Source: RNAcentral